UCAUUAAGGACAUCACACUAUAUCACCGUCACAGAAGCAAAAGUUGGUAGAUAACCAAAAACAACCAAUGGAGCACAAAUUUUAAAUCAAUACAUUUAUUUAAAAUAAAACCAUUUACCCUUUUUCUUACCCUUGGAGAACCUACGAAAACAACCUAUAAAGACAAUAACAUCAUACAGAUCACAAUUUCAUGCAUAAUCAGUAACAUAAAAACAUAUCAUAAAUCCGU
RNAcentral lists this long non-coding RNA (229 nucleotides) under Carica papaya (papaya). RNAcentral describes it as "long non-coding RNA (CPAP_LNC003859)". Lineage: Eukaryota; Viridiplantae; Streptophyta; Magnoliopsida; Brassicales; Caricaceae. The record is from RNAcentral.